This is a long non-coding RNA of Sapajus apella (tufted capuchin), 192 nucleotides long. RefSeq lists it as uncharacterized. The transcript is spliced from 3 exons. Lineage: Eukaryota; Metazoa; Chordata; Mammalia; Primates; Cebidae. The record is from RefSeq and is a predicted model, not a curated record.
UUGGGAGGCUGUGUGUUUCCAGGAAUUUAUCCAUUUCCUCUAGAUUUUCUAAUUUGUGUGCUUAGAGAUGUUCUUAAUAAUCUCUGAGGAUCUUUGUAUUUCUGUAGGAUCACUUGUAAUGCCAUUUGUCACUUCUGAUUGUACUUAUUUGGAUAUUCUUUUAUUUCUUUUUCAUUGUUAAGAUAAGUAGGG